RNAcentral lists this ribosomal RNA (2070 nucleotides) under human gut metagenome. RNAcentral's name for it is "bacterial LSU rRNA". It matches the Rfam family "Bacterial large subunit ribosomal RNA", at positions 519 to 2614 of the family's 2925-position model. The record is from RNAcentral.
AAGGACCCCGGGAGGGGAGUGAAAGAGAACCUGAAACCCUGUGUUUACAAUCUGUGGAAGGUCUUUAUAUGACCAACCGCGUACUUUUUGUAGAACGGUCCGGCGAGUUACGCGUACUGGCAAGGUUAAGUGCUUAAGGCACGGAGCCGAAGCGACAGCGAGUCUUAACUGGGCGGUAAGUCAGUACGAGUAGACCCGAAACCGGGUGAUCUAUCCAUGUCCAGGAUGAAGAUGCCGUAAAAGGCAUUGGAGGUCCGAAGCCACAUCCGUUGAAAAGGGUGGGCAUGAGGUGUGGAUAGGGGAGAAAUUCCAAUCGAACCCGGAGAUAGCUGGUUCUCCUCGAAAUAGCUUUAGGGCUAGCCUCGUUUUAGUCUUAUGGAGGUAGAGCACUGAAUUUCCGCGGGGGCGUCAAAGCUUACCAAAGAAUAUCAAACUCCGAAUGCCAUGUAGAUGAUGAACGGGAGUCAGACUGCACGAGAUAAGUUGGGCGGUCAAAAGGGAAAGAGCCCAGACCACCGGCUAAGGUCCCAAAGUGUGUGUUAAGUGGAAAAGGAUGUGGGAAUUCGAAGACAACUAGGAUGUUGGCUCAGAAGCAGCCAUACAUUCAAAGAGUGCGUAACAGCUCACUAGUCGAGAGUCCCUGCGCCGAAAAUGUCCGGGGCUGAAACACAACACCGAAGCCGUGGACUCCGUAAGGAGUGGUAGAGGAGCAUUCUUAAAACCGACGAAGCUGUACCGGUAAGGAGCAGUGGAGGGAUAAGAAGAGAGAAUGCCGGAAUGAGUAGCGAGAGGAAGGUGGGAAUCCUUCCGGCCGAAUAUCUAAGGUUUCCAGAGUAAAGCUGAUCUGCUCUGGGUAAGUCGGGGCCUAAGGAGAGGUCGCAAGACGUAUCCGAUGGACAACAGGUUUAGAUUCCUGUACCGCAUAUAAACAGAACUGUGGGGACGCAUGUGGAAAGCAUAAGCCGGGAAUGGAAAGACCGGUACAAGCGAGGUAGGUGUGUGACAGGCAAAUCCGUCAUAUAAGCCGAAGACGUGAUGUGGAGCGAAAUUAAGUAGUGAAGUAUGUGAGCCAUGUGCCGAGAAAAGCCGCUAUUGUUUUAUAUGUGCCCGUACCGUAAACCGACACAGGUGGAUGAGGAGAGAAUCCUAAGGCCGACGGAAGAAGCAUUGUUAAGGAACUCGGCAAAAUGACCCCGUAACUUCGGGAGAAGGGGUGCCCACUUCAGGGUGGGCCGCAGAGAAUAGGCUCAAGCAACUGUUUAGCAAAAACACAGGUCUAUGCGAAACCGAAAGGUGAAGUAUAUGGGCUGACGCCUGCCCGGUGCUGGAAGGUUAAGAGGAGAGGUUAGCGCAAGCGAAGCUUUGAAUUUAAGCCCCAGUAAACGGCGGCCGUAACUAUAACGGUCCUAAGGUAGCGAAAUUCCUUGUCGGGUAAGUUCCGACCCGCACGAAAGGCGUAAUGAUUUGAGCACUGUCUCGACAAUGCAUCCGGUGAAAUUGAAGUACCAGUGAAGAUGCUGGUUACCCGCGCCAGGACGGAAAGACCCCAUGGAGCUUUACUCCAGUUUGAUACUGGGAUUCGGUACUGCACGUACAGGAUAGGUGGGAGACUGAGAACUAUGGACGCCAGUCUGUAGGGAGUCGCUGUUGGGAUACCACCCCUGUAGUACUGGGUUUCUAACCAGCUGCCGUGAACCGGCAGUGGGACAAUGUCAGGCGGGGAGUUUGACUGGGGCGGUCGCCUCCGAAAGGGUAUCGGAGGCGCUCAAAGGUUCCCUCAGAAUGGUCGGAAACCAUUUGAAGAGUGCAAAGGCAGAAGGGAGCUUGACUGCGACACCGACGGGUGGAGCAGGUACGAAAGUAGGACUUAGUGAUCCGGUGGUAUAAAGUGGGAUUGCCAUCGCUCAACGGAUAAAAGCUACCCUGGGGAUAACAGGCUUAUCACUCCCAAGAGUUCACAUCGACGGAGUGGUUUGGCACCUCGAUGUCGGCUCAUCGCAUCCUGGGGCUGUAGCAGGUCCCAAGGGUUGGGCUGUUCGCCCAUUAAAGCGGUACGCGAGCUGGGUUCAG